Long non-coding RNA from Mytilus trossulus (common blue mussel), 358 nucleotides. RefSeq lists it as uncharacterized. The transcript has 4 exons. The record is from RefSeq and is a predicted model, not a curated record. NCBI's taxonomy places the organism in Eukaryota, Metazoa, Mollusca, Bivalvia, Mytilida, Mytilidae.
AAAACGGACACGCAAUUUUUCCGUGCAUUGAGUGGGAUCACUUCUAGCUUGCACCUUGCUAUUGACAUUCUACAAACAAUUCUGUUUAGCCAAGAAGACGUAAUGUGAAUGGCUUUUAAGGAUUAUUAUUGACCUGUGGCAGUUGGUAUUAAGGUCAUGAAGACAUGGUUUAAAGAAGUUGCUAUUGAAGUUUGAUGAAGGACAGCUUUAUAACUAGAACCAACAGCUUUUAGUUUGGGAGAUAAUGGCAAAUUGGGCAAAUUGGGAUGAGAAACUUUGUAAAGCUGCUGAGGAGGGAAAUCUUAAAGAUGUGGAAUUAUCUUUAGAAAAUGGAGCUAAUUUGGAAUAUAUUGGUUUU